UGCAGUCGACGAACCUUCGGGUUAGUGGCGGACGGGUGAGUAACGCGUGAUAAUCUGCCCUCAGGAGGGGGAUAACAGUUGGAAACGACUGCUAAUACCCCAUAUGCCGAGAGGUGAAACGAAUUUUGCCUGGGGAUGAGCUCGCGUCUGAUUAGCUUGUUGGUGGGGUAAAAGCCUACCAAGGCUUCGAUCAGUAGCUGGUCUGAGAGGACGAUCAGCCACACUGGGACUGAGAUACGGCCCAGACUCCUACGGGAGGCAGCAGUGGGGAAUUUUCCGCAAUGGGCGCAAGCCUGACGGAGCAACGCCGCGUGAGGGAUGAAGGCCUUUGGGCUGUAAACCUCUUUUCUCAAGGAAGAAGAUCUGACGGUACUUGAGGAAUAAGCCACGGCUAAUUCCGUGCCAGCAGCCGCGGUAAUACGGGAGUGGCAAGCGUUAUCCGGAAUUAUUGGGCGUAAAGCGUCCGCAGGCGGCCGUUUAAGUCUGUUGUUAAAUCGUGGAGCUCAACUCCAUCACGGCAAUGGAAACUGUUCGGCUUGAGUAUGGUAGGGGCAGAGGGAAUUUCCGGUGUAGCGGUGAAAUGCGUAGAUAUCGGGAAGAACACCAGUGGCAAAAGCGCUCUGCUGGGCCAUUACUGACGCUCAUGGACGAAAGCCAGGGAGCGAAAGGGAUUAGAUACCCCUGUAGUCCUGGCCGUAAACGAUGAACACUAGAUGUUGGGGGAAUCGACCCCUCCGUGUCGUAGCUACGCGUUAAGUGUUCCGCCUGGGGAGUACGCACGCAGUG
Molecule: ribosomal RNA, 786 nt
Filed under: uncultured bacterium
Lineage: Bacteria
Description: bacterial SSU rRNA
Rfam family: Bacterial small subunit ribosomal RNA
Source: RNAcentral